CCUUGCACACACCGCCCGUCAAACCACCCGAGUGAGGUAUGGGUGAGGGCACGGACUUUGUGCCGUGUUCGAACCUGAAUUUCGCAAGGGGGGUUAAGUCGUAACAAGGUAGCCGUAGGGGAAUCUGCGGCUGGAUCACCUCCUAA
Molecule: ribosomal RNA, 146 nt
Filed under: Promethearchaeota archaeon
Lineage: Archaea; Promethearchaeati; Promethearchaeota
Description: Candidatus Lokiarchaeota archaeon (marine sediment metagenome) partial 16S ribosomal RNA
Rfam family: Archaeal small subunit ribosomal RNA
Source: RNAcentral